CAGUCGCCGCGGGAAAACGUAGGUGGCAAGCGUUGUCCGGAAUUAUUGGGCGUAAAGGGCUCGCAGGCGGUUUCUUAAGUCUGAUGUGAAAGCCCCCGGCUCAAUCGGGGAGGGUCAUUGGAAACUGGGAAACUUGAGUGCAGAAGAGGAGAGUGGAAUUCCACGUGUAGCGGUGAAAUGCGUAGAGAUGUGGAGGAACAGCAGUGGCGAAGGCGACUCUCUGGUCUGUAACUGACGCUGAGGAGCGAAAGCGUGGGGAGCGAACAGGAUUAGAUACCCCAGUAGUCCCUGUCUCUUAUAC
RNAcentral lists this ribosomal RNA (301 nucleotides) under uncultured bacterium. Its description in RNAcentral is "partial 16S ribosomal RNA". It matches the Rfam family "Bacterial small subunit ribosomal RNA", at positions 509 to 807 of the family's 1533-position model. The record is from RNAcentral.